This is a long non-coding RNA of Oncorhynchus keta (chum salmon), 822 nucleotides long. RefSeq lists it as uncharacterized. Lineage: Eukaryota; Metazoa; Chordata; Actinopteri; Salmoniformes; Salmonidae. The transcript is spliced from 3 exons. The record is from RefSeq and is a predicted model, not a curated record.
UUCUCAGUACAGGUGAAUGCAUAUUAUUCAAUAGACUAGGUCUUAUUCUCAGUACAGGGGAAUGCAUAUUAUUCAAUAGACUAGGUCUUAUUCUCAGUACAGGUGAAUGCAUAUUAUUCAAUAGACUAGGUCUUAUUCACAGUACAGGUGAAUGCAUAUUAUUCAAUAGACUAGGUCUUAUUCUCAGUACAGGUGAAUGCAUAUUAUUCAAUAGACUAGGUCUUAUUCUCAGUACAGGUGAAUGCAUAUUAUUCAAUAGACUAGGUCUUAUUCUCAGUACAGGUGAAUGCAUAUUAUUCAAUAGACUAGGUCUUAUUCUCAGUACAGGUGAAUGCAUAUUAUUCAAUAGACUAGGUCUUAUUCUCAGUACAGGUGAAUGCAUAUUAUUCAAUAGACUAGGUCUUAUUCUCAGUACAGGUGAAUGCAUAUUAUUCAAUAGACUAGGUCUUAUUCUCAGUACAGGUGAAUGCAUAUUAUUCAAUAGACUAGGUCUUAUUCUCAGUACAGGUGAAUGCAUAUUAUUCAAUAGACUAGGUCUUAUUCUCAGUACAGGUGAAUGCAUAUUAUUCAAUAGACUAGGUCUUAUUCUCAGUACAGGUGAAUGCAUAUUAUUCAAUAGACUAGGUCUUAUUCUCAGUACAGGGGAAUGCAUAUUAUUCAAUAGACUAGGUCUUAUUCUCAGUACAGGUGAAUGCAUAUUAUUCAAUAGACUAGGUCUUAUUCUCAGUACAGGGGAAUGCAUAUUAUUCAAUAGACUAGGUCUUAUUCUCAGUACAGGGGAAUGCAUAUUAUUCAAUAGACUAGGUCUUAUUCUCAGUACAG